AAGGCAGGCUUUCCUGUCGCUACGGUCCAGGAGAUCGGAGAGGAAAGUCCGGGCAACACAGGGCAGCAUACUUCCUAACGGGAAGCUGUUUUGCAGCAGCAAAACAAGAGCAAGUGCCACAGAAAACAACCGCCCUGCCUUGUGCAGGGUAAGGGUGAAAACGUGAGGUAAGAGCUCACGGCUUGCGCGGGUGACCGCGUAAGGGGGUAAACCUUAUGCGUUGAAAGACCAAAUAUACCGGGGCUUGAGGGCUGCCCGCCCAAUCCCGGAGGGUAGGUCGUUGGAGGGCAGGUGUGAAUCUGCUCCCGGAUAAAUGACAGGAGUUCCGCAACUGCGGAAUACAGAACCCGGCUUAUAAGCCUGCCUUUUUU
This 371-nucleotide RNase P RNA is filed under the name Bacteroidota bacterium. RNAcentral's name for it is "Bacteroidetes bacterium RNase P RNA component class A". It matches the Rfam family "Bacterial RNase P class A". From Rfam's summary of the family: Ribonuclease P (RNase P) is a ubiquitous endoribonuclease, found in archaea, bacteria and eukarya as well as chloroplasts and mitochondria. Its best characterised activity is the generation of mature 5'-ends of tRNAs by cleaving the 5'-leader elements of precursor-tRNAs. The record is from RNAcentral. Lineage: Bacteria; Pseudomonadati; Bacteroidota.